Molecule: long non-coding RNA, 558 nt
Filed under: Salvia miltiorrhiza (redroot sage)
Lineage: Eukaryota; Viridiplantae; Streptophyta; Magnoliopsida; Lamiales; Lamiaceae
Description: long non-coding RNA (SMIL_LNC003305)
Source: RNAcentral
UGAAAGGUGAUCAAAUAAUAAUCACAAAACUAUGGAAAUAUUACUCAUAAAUAAAUACCAUAGCAUAAUUAUUCAUGUAACCAAAUUAAAUAAUUAUAGCACCUUAGAUUAGUGCACUCACUCAAUUAUAAUAUUCCUCUUCGUAGGAAAAAAAAAAUCAUUUAAAAAAAUAUUAUGCUUGGAAAAAUUUUCCAUAAACCGGCAUCAUUCGAUUUCUCGAUAAAAAUAAACCAUACUUGCUUUGGAAACUUAAACAAAAUUCCAAAUGCUAAGGUCUCGAAUAAAAAUCAUAAUAACUCGGUCAUAAUGACACACGUCACAAAAUCACAUAAUCACUCAGUCACGUAAAUUCACAUAACAUCACAUCAAAACAGUCGGCAGACUCAGAUAAGCUAGACGUCUCUCUGACCGACUCUAUAUAUCUAGGUUUCUCACUCUUUCUUCCUCGACUCUAUUUCCAACUCAGUAUUCCUAUUUUUCUUAAUAGGACAGUCAAUCUCUAACAAUUUAGUAUCCGGUAACUCUAUUCCCGGUAGUUGGAAUUAAAAUAAAAUCUCA